UACGUAGGGGGCAAGCGUUGUCCGGAUUUAUUGGGCGUAAAGAGCGUGUAGGCGGCCAUACAGGUCCGUUGUGAAAACUGGAGGCUUAACCUCCAGACGUCGAUGGAAACCGUAUGGCUAGAGUCCGGAAGAGGAGAGUGGAAUUCCUGGUGUAGCGGUGAAAUGCGCAGAUAUCAGGAAGAACACCCGUGGCGAAGGCGGCUCUCUGGGACGGUACUGACACUGAGGCGCGAAAGCGUGGGGAGCGAACAGG
Molecule: ribosomal RNA, 253 nt
Filed under: uncultured bacterium
Lineage: Bacteria
Description: partial 16S ribosomal RNA
Rfam family: Bacterial small subunit ribosomal RNA
Source: RNAcentral